UACAGAGGUCUCAAGCGUUGUUCGGAUUCAUUGGGCGUAAAGGGUGCGCAGGUGGCGAGGCAAGUCGGAUGUGAAAUCCCGGGGCUCAACCCCGGAACUGCAUUCGAUACUGCCUUGCUAGAGUGCUGGAGAGGAGAUUGGAAUUUACGGUGUAGCAGUGAAAUGCGCAGAUAUCAGGAGGAACACCAAUGGCGAAGGCAGCACUCUGGGACGUGACUGACGCUGAGACGCGAAAGCGUGGGGAGCAAACAGG
Molecule: ribosomal RNA, 253 nt
Filed under: uncultured bacterium
Lineage: Bacteria
Description: partial 16S ribosomal RNA
Rfam family: Bacterial small subunit ribosomal RNA
Source: RNAcentral